UACGAAGGAUGCAAGCGUUAUCCGGAUUUAUUGGGUUUAAAGGGUGCGUAGGCGGGUUUGUAAGUCAGAGGUGAAAGCCCAUAGCUCAACUAUGGAAUUGCCUUUGGUACUAUAGAUCUUGAGUAUGGUUGACGUUGGCGGAAUGUGCAGUGUAGCGGUGAAAUGCUUAGAUAUUGCACAGAACACCGAUUGCGAAGGCAGCUAACGAAGUCAUUACUGACGCUGAUGCACGAAAGCAUGGGGAGCAAACAGGAUUAGAAACCCGGGUAGU
RNAcentral lists this ribosomal RNA (271 nucleotides) under uncultured bacterium. RNAcentral's name for it is "partial 16S ribosomal RNA". It matches the Rfam family "Bacterial small subunit ribosomal RNA", at positions 524 to 794 of the family's 1533-position model. The record is from RNAcentral.